UUAAUUUAUUUGAUUUUGAUUCAGAAGACAUGUUUAUAAUGAGUUUGAGAAAACUUCUGCCGGUCGAAACCGGCAAAGAAACAGGUUUAGUUAAAACAUAGGGUUGAAGUUUGGGCACUGAGUACCCGAAACCUUUAAUGAUCCUUCCGCAGGUUCACCUACGGAAA
This 167-nucleotide unclassified non-coding RNA is filed under the name uncultured fungus. RNAcentral's name for it is "sequence contains ITS1". Lineage: Eukaryota; Fungi. The record is from RNAcentral.